This is an RNA transcript of Populus nigra (black poplar), 1226 nucleotides long. RefSeq lists it as uncharacterized. The record is from RefSeq and is a predicted model, not a curated record. The transcript is spliced from 7 exons. Lineage: Eukaryota; Viridiplantae; Streptophyta; Magnoliopsida; Malpighiales; Salicaceae.
AACCACUUUCCGUGAACUCAAGGAAGAAGAAGCACAACACGACACAACAACAUCCACUAAUCUUUCUCUCUCUAUAAUAAAGAGAAACCAAAAAAAGUCUCUUUAUAGUUUCUACAAUAGACAUUGACAUACAUACGGGCUUGUACCAUCUUCUUCAAGUGAACAUAUAGCCUCAUGGAUGAUAUUCCUGGGAGGUUGAAUGUAGUCCCUGAUCACUUUCAAGUAUCAACUUCUAGUGAGGACACUCCUCAAAACAUAACUUCAUCUAUCCAACGGCCCAGAAUUGAUAAUUCAUCCAGCUCAAAUAGUCGUUUCUGGUCUGGAAGAAAACUAAGUGCUGCAUUCAUGCUGAAUUUGUUUAACCUACAGAGGCUGUCAUGGGGUUCUAGCGCUGAUGGUCAGGAAAAGGUCAAGUUAUCCGUCACAGAGUUAGAAUCACUUCGAUCAGAACUUGCAUAUUUAGAAGAGAGGGAAGCUCACUUGAAAGCUCAGUUGGAACAUGUUGAUGAAGUUCUGCGCUCUGCUCGGUUCUCUGGUUAUUUGUACAUCCGAACUGUAGUGGAUUUCUCCAAAUUGCUUAUGUUACUUUCUUUUCAGUUCUUACUGCAAUCUUUUGUGCACCUAGCAGUAACAGGUUUUUUCCUCCUGUUCUCCCUCCUUUACAGAGAUGGACAGCUCUACCUGGGGAGCCGCCGCCACUUGAUGAUGCUGAUGUGGACGAUUGGCUUCCUCGCUUUGUUGUCCUUAAUGGACCAUGCAUCUUCUUCUAUUUGUUGUCCACAGAUUUCAGUCCUCAAGAUUCCACUCUACUUGCCGAUAUUGUUGAAGUAGGCUCUCUGCCAAGCUUUACACGGGAGCAUGAAGAGACAUUGUAUUCCUCAUAUAUCUUAACUCGUCAAGGUCUGAGAUAUGAGUGCUCAAGUGUUUCCGAAGUACAGGUUGAUUCAUGGCUAAAGGUAUUGCAAACUGACAUCAAGUUGGUUUCUGAGACAAAAGUUCCCUCAUGGUUCCAGUGAUGUGUAAAAUCUGCAUGUUUUUAACAGUAAGCUGUACAUUUGAAAAUUUAACUGUAAGCUUUAGAUAUAUGAAUAUCAGUUUGGUUAUGAUUUCUCUAACUCAUUCAUUGUGUUUCUGUACAGAACAAUUGAUAUACUUUAUUUGAGUUGUAGUUAAUGUUGUACCACUCAUUCUUGACAGAAUUAAAUUUAACAUGAAGUUACCAUUCU